RNAcentral lists this transfer RNA (63 nucleotides) under pig gut metagenome. It matches the Rfam family "tRNA", at positions 6 to 65 of the family's 71-position model. Rfam says of the family: Transfer RNA (tRNA) molecules are approximately 80 nucleotides in length. Their secondary structure includes four short double-helical elements and three loops (D, anti-codon, and T loops). The record is from RNAcentral.
CGUAGCUCAGUAGGAUAGAGCGACCGCCUCCUAAGCGGUAGGCCGGAGGUUCGAAUCCUCUCG